RNAcentral lists this ribosomal RNA (447 nucleotides) under uncultured bacterium. Its description in RNAcentral is "bacterial SSU rRNA". It matches the Rfam family "Bacterial small subunit ribosomal RNA", at positions 355 to 825 of the family's 1533-position model. The record is from RNAcentral.
UCGGGAAUUUUGGGCAAUGGGCGAAAGCCUGACCCAGCAACGCCGCGUGAAGGAUGAAGUAUUUCGGUAUGUAAACUUCGAAAGAAUAGGAAGAAUAAAUGACGGUACUAUUUAUAAGGUCCGGCUAACUACGUGCCAGCAGCCGCGGUAAUACGUAGGGACCAAGCGUUGUUCGGAUUUACUGGGCGUAAAGGGCGCGUAGGCGGCAAUUCAAGUCAUCUGUGAAAUCUCCGGGCUUAACUCGGAACGGUCAGAUGAUACUGCUUUGCUAGAGUGCAGAAGGGGCAAUCGGAAUUCUUGGUGUAGCGGUGAAAUGCGUAGAUAUCAAGAGGAACACCUGAGGUGAAGACGGGUUGCUGGGCUGAUACUGACGCUGAGGCGCGAAAGCCAGGGGAGCAAACGGGAUUAGAUACCCUCGUAGUCCCUGAGCGGGCUGGCAAGGCGCAU